RNAcentral lists this long non-coding RNA (429 nucleotides) under Vulpes vulpes (red fox). RNAcentral describes it as "lncRNA (ENSVVUG00000014225.1)". The record is from RNAcentral. Lineage: Eukaryota; Metazoa; Chordata; Mammalia; Carnivora; Canidae.
AGGAUGCUUAGCUAGGGGUAACAUUUCAGUAUGAGUGUAUACUGAGGUCAUGGGAGGAAAGUGUUGGGAGUUAAAGCUGGAAAGAAUUGGUUGUAAUUAAGGAGACACAUUUAAACAGUAUCAAUUCUGAAUCAAGAUAUCGACUAAACUGAACACCCAGAAGUGAAGGCAGAAAAGCAGCCAAACAAAACCCAGAGCCCUGGAAAUGGAACCUUCCAUGCCUUCCCCACGCUUGCCUCUCUGGUUCUACAGCAGCAGCCUAUCUUCUGUCUGCUUGGUUUAGGAAGCUCCUUCUUCAGGGUUUCUGAAUUGCUGGCCUUUUGGUGACGUUUGGCGCAACAACCCUCUCUACCUAUAACCCACAUCGCUGACCUCAGAGCUCAAUGAACGUUUCAUUUACAUGCACAGUCAAAUUAAAUUUGCCCAGCC